GACGAACGCUGGCGGCGUGCUUAACACAUGCCAGUCGAACGGAAAGGCCCUGCUUGCAGGGUACUCGAGUGGCGAACGGGUGAGUAACACGUGGGUGAUCUGCCCUGCACUUCGGGAUAAGCCUGGGAAACUGGGUCUAAUACCGGAUAGGAGCCAUUUUUAGUGUGAUGGUUGGAAAGUUUUUUCGGUGUAGGAUGAGCUCGCGGCCUAUCAGCUUGUUGGUGGGGUAAUGGCCUACCAAGGCGGCGACGGGUAGCCGGCCUGAGAGGGUGGACGGCCACAUUGGGACUGAGGGACGGCCCAGACUCCUAAGGGAGGCAGCAGUGGGGAAUAUUGCACAAGGGGCGCAAGCCUGAUGCAGCGAGGCCGCGUGGGGGAUGACGGCCUUCGGGUUGUAAACUCCUUUCGCUAGGGACGAAGCUUUUUGUGACGGUACCUAGAGAAGAAGCACCGGCUAACUACGUG
RNAcentral lists this ribosomal RNA (465 nucleotides) under uncultured bacterium. RNAcentral's name for it is "partial 16S ribosomal RNA". It matches the Rfam family "Bacterial small subunit ribosomal RNA", at positions 28 to 507 of the family's 1533-position model. The record is from RNAcentral.